This 447-nucleotide ribosomal RNA is filed under the name uncultured organism. RNAcentral describes it as "partial 16S ribosomal RNA". It matches the Rfam family "Bacterial small subunit ribosomal RNA", at positions 333 to 797 of the family's 1533-position model. The record is from RNAcentral.
ACACUCCUGCGGGAGGCAGCAGUGGGGAAUAUUGGACAAUGGGCGCAAGCCUGAUCCAGCCAUGCCGCGUGAGUGAUGAAGGCCCUAGGGUUGUAAAGCUCUUUCACCGGUGAAGAUAAUGACGGUAACCGGAGAAGAAGCCCCGGCUAACUUCGUGCCAGCAGCCGCGGUAAUACGAAGGGGGCUAGCGUUGUUCGGAUUUACUGGGCGUAAAGCGCACGUAGGCGGACUAUUAAGUCAGGGGUGAAAUCCCGGGGCUCAACCCCGGAACUGCCUUUGAUACUGGUAGUCUUGAGUACGAGAGAGGUGAGUGGAAUUCCGAGUGUAGAGGUGAAAUUCGUAGAUAUUCGGAGGAACACCAGUGGCGAAGGCGGCUCACUGGCUCGAUACUGACGCUGAGGUGCGAAAGCGUGGGGAGCAAACAGGAUUAGAAACCCUUGUAGUCCC